AAAAAAUGAAGACCAGAAAUUAAUGAUAAAACCGAGCGGAUUCCGAAAAGCUUUAUGAGUAGGAAAAAU
This is a non-coding RNA of Bacteroidetes bacterium GWF2_41_31, 69 nucleotides long. The record is from Rfam. NCBI's taxonomy places the organism in Bacteria, Pseudomonadati, Bacteroidota.